AAGAUAUUAGUAAAAUUUACGUACUUUUGUCAAAGGUAAAUUACAGGUGAAACUCCUGUAUAUCUUU
RNAcentral lists this transfer RNA (67 nucleotides) under Myotis velifer (mouse-eared bat). Its description in RNAcentral is "tRNA-Asp". The record is from RNAcentral. Lineage: Eukaryota; Metazoa; Chordata; Mammalia; Chiroptera; Vespertilionidae.